GAUGAAGAACGUAGCGAAAUGCGAUAAGUAGUGUGAAUUGCAGAAUUCAGUGAAUCAUCGAAUCUUUGAACGCACAUUGCGCCCCUUGGUAUUCCAUGGGGCAUUCCUGUUCGAGCGUCAUUUGUACCUUCAAGCUUUGCUUGGUGUUGGGUGUUUGUCUCGCCUUUGCGUGUAGACUCGCCUUAAAAUAAUUGGCAGCCGGCGUAUUGAUUUCGGAGCGCAGUACAUCUCGCGCUUUGCACUCAUAACGACAGCGUCCAAAAGUACAUUUUACACUCUUGACCUCGGAUCAGGUAGGGAUACCCGCUGAACUUAAGCAUAUCAAUAAGCGGAGGA
This 336-nucleotide unclassified non-coding RNA is filed under the name soil metagenome. RNAcentral describes it as "partial contains 5.8S ribosomal RNA, internal transcribed spacer 2, and large subunit ribosomal RNA". The stretch from base 1 to 120 matches the Rfam family "5.8S ribosomal RNA", at positions 35 to 154 of the family's 154-position model. The record is from RNAcentral.